AUUUCAUCAGCGCGCGUUAGUCUCCAGUCGCGCGUGCGCAGUGAGGGGAGUGCGACAAUAACGGUCGAUUUCUGAGGCGAGUAUUAAACGUUUAUAAACAACGACUUCUGUUGUUUAAACUUAAAUAUCCAUAACAAGACUAAUAAUAUUGAGAUUACGAAAAAAAGACUAAGUUAGCGUGUUUAGAAUUGACAUGACUCGCGCGUCGAAGUUGUUAUAUCGUCUGAAUUAGUAAAACAAAACAUAACAACUGAGUUUCAUAUCUAUCGCACUCGCUUUAGUUUAUUAACUCUUCAAGUGAAAACUAACCCUAAAGGUCGAAAUUAAUCUGGUGUUUAUCGAGGAGAAUGGCGGCUCCAGUAGAUCCUCAGACGCCUGCAGCAUCAGGGCAGAAGAAGGGUCACGUGAGGUUUGUGGAAGUUUCUCCUCUCCGUGAAGAUCAGAAGGGAGCGGCGGAGGAGGGCGGUCAUCUGUCCGUCUGGUCGGCCGGUCUGUUCAUCAGUAAGUGGAGGUCAGCGCAGCGCAGAGGAGUCCGAGCCCGGCUCUACACGGACGACCCCGAGUACAGACGUGUGCUGAGAGAGCAGGAGCUCCAGCUGAGAUCCACCGUGCCGCUGCCGCUGGGCUCCGCCAUGGACCAGGAGACGCUGCGCAUUCUGCUGGACGUGGAGAAAUCUUACAGACGUAACCUGGGUCCACAGCACGCUCUCACCGCAGACGCUCAGAGACGAAUCCAGACGCUCAGAAACAGAAUAUCUGCUAGAAGUGUGAGCGAGGAGCAGCAGACGAGCGUCCUGAACCCCUGGAGCCGCUGGAAGAGCUCCGCGAGACGCACAGAGACACAGAACAACCCUCAAACAGUCACCUACAGACCACCUCAGACCCCAGAGGAAGCAGAUAACACCAGCGUUUGAUGACACAUUAAAACCUGAAGAGUUACUUCAAGUCACUGUGUUUUACAGAGCCUUUCCAGUCACACACACAAAUACAGGGAGACGGAAGCUCGUUUCUGCCACACAGUGAGAUAUGAAAAGCUAACAGUGACUUGUUCCUAAAACUUCAGGAAAAGUAACUGCGAUCUCACAAUUCAGAUUUUUUUUCUUAGAGUUCUGAAUUAACAUCUCACAAACCAAACUUUUUUCUCUGAAUUAUGUUUACAUUCGCAAUUUCGUUUGAGAAAAGUCAGAAUUGUAUAGUUAUAAACUCAUAAUUGCAAGUUUGUAUCUCGCAGUUUUUACUUUUUUCUCCUAUUUCUUUAUUUCACAAUAUUUUGUCUUGUUCUGUUUCCAACAUGGAAUAAAAAAAAAAAAAAUGUAAAUAAAAAUCUCA
This is a long non-coding RNA of Cyprinus carpio (common carp), 1329 nucleotides long. The record is from Ensembl. NCBI's taxonomy places the organism in Eukaryota, Metazoa, Chordata, Actinopteri, Cypriniformes, Cyprinidae.